AUGAGCUCGUCGGCGGCCAAGAAGGGAGUGUCGAUGGUGGUGGCUACGAGCAUGGCGGCGGUGGAGGCGCUCAAGGACCAGGCGGGGCUGUGCCGCUGGGACUACGCGCUCCGCUCACUCUACCACCGCGCCGUCGUCACCGGCCGCCGCGCCGUCCCGGCGUCCCUCUCCUCCUCCUCCUCCUCCCAGGCCGCCGUAGGCAGGGCUGCCCGGCCAAGGCGGUCCGAGGAGGAGAAGCUGCACAAGGCGUACCACAUCGUUUGCUGGGGGCCAAACUGA
This 279-nucleotide ribosomal RNA is filed under the name Triticum aestivum (bread wheat). Its description in RNAcentral is "partial small subunit ribosomal RNA". The record is from RNAcentral. Lineage: Eukaryota; Viridiplantae; Streptophyta; Magnoliopsida; Poales; Poaceae.